GAGCCUCAGUCCACCACCCUUUUCUUUCACCGGCAGUGGGGUGAGUAGAGAAGAAAGACUUCAUGAGGUCCCAGGAACUGCCAGCAGAUCUGCCACUGUGCCUCACUCUCUAGCCUGGGGCUGAGGCCCAGCAGGGAUGUGGCAGGAUAACUGUCCCAGCAUCAUCUCCCACCCCAUCCCAUAUUUCUCUACACCUCCCUCUCUUCGCACCUCUCAAGCCUGUACCAUAAAUACCCCUUUCACCUGGGGCUGCCCCACUCUUAAAGACUGCUACCUCCUGGAGGGCGGAUACCCAUAUUUUAUACCUCAUUUUCUCUCCAAUGUCUUGCCCUGGCUCAACCUGGUGAUUACUAAGCAUUUGAGGAGGGAAAGCAAAGUAGAAAGUAAAUGAGGGAAGGAUGAAAUAAUUGAACUCCGAAAAAGAACAAGCUACUAUCAAGUUUUACAGCUCUGCGUGGGGACAACGUACCCCUCUGGUCCAGUGUCCAUCUCCUUUUUAGGAAGACAGGAGACUCUUCAGUGAUCUUCCUGCUUGCUCCCCAUUAACCUCUGGUUUGCUGAACUCUCUGGCUUUUUCUUCUGGGCCCUCCACAUCUGCCUUCUCUUCCUUCCUACAUACAUGUGUUGUUUGGUGGUACAUUUUUGCUCUGUGACAAGCACCUUCUUAAGUACCAUGGUGGACACAGAUGAGCCCCAAAUGGGCUUGCAGUCCAUUGGGUUAGGGGUGGGUUGGGAAUUGAACCCACAGCCCUCAUAUUUUAACCCCAGGAAAAGCUGAAAUACUCUCGGCAAAGGUCUGGCCCCAUCCCAAGGUGUUGCUCAAAGAAAGGUGUCCAAAGAAACUUGAACUAUAGAAGGAACCUUGGCAGAGAUAAAAUUGCAUUUAGCACUCCCAGGGGACCACGUAAUGGAUGGAAACGCAGCUCCUCUCACACCAGCAAGUGAACAUUUUUCUUACUCCCGUCUCUGGCUGCAACGGGGGAGGAGUGUAGAGAGAAAAGAAAAGAAAGAAAAAGCCAUGGUGACGCCUGUGGGCUCUUCUUGGAAUUUGAGCAUUGAGUGGGUAUGCUAAAUAUGGACACGUUUAUCCUAAGAAAAGAUCCACACAUUCGCAACUGAGGUUUAUUGAAAUGAGAUCUGUUCUUUGGUGAAAAUACAGUCCUCUUUGGUGUGGAAGAGACCAGAAAGAUUAUUUAUCUGAUCUCUGCCUCCCAUAAGUAGCCUCUCGCCGCUCUCCAGCUCUCUUGCCACAGAUGUGAUAACAUCUGGGCUGUUAUUAUCACCCGGGGCAAGCUCUGUGUCCCUGGGGACUUGGCACCUGAACUGUGGUUCUCCUGGGAGGCCCUUGAUCUGCCUGCCACACAAGGGCCAUAAAACAGGUUGGCUAAUUGAUUCAUUCUUCUUAGGUUUUGAUUUCACAAUAAGAGAAUACAUAAAAAAUAAAGUCCGGACCAGA
This is a long non-coding RNA of Canis lupus familiaris (dog), 1456 nucleotides long. RefSeq lists it as uncharacterized. The transcript is spliced from 2 exons. The record is from RefSeq and is a predicted model, not a curated record. Lineage: Eukaryota; Metazoa; Chordata; Mammalia; Carnivora; Canidae.